Herpailurus yagouaroundi (jaguarundi) is the source of this 873-nucleotide long non-coding RNA. RefSeq lists it as uncharacterized. Lineage: Eukaryota; Metazoa; Chordata; Mammalia; Carnivora; Felidae. The record is from RefSeq and is a predicted model, not a curated record. The transcript is spliced from 3 exons.
CAGAACUGGGACCAGUGGGUUUUCUCAUUGACAAUCCAGCUGCCAAGACUGCCAAUCAGACUUAAGUAUGUUCUUCCCACCUCAGGAUUUCCACUGUUUACCUCACCGAGGUAACCUAGACCAUUAGAGGCCGUAGGUUCUAACCCCAGCUGUGGCGCUGUGUAGCAUUAAACAAGUUGACUAAUCUUUUUGUGCUAACAGAUAAAUCUGCUUCCCCUAGAUAGCUUCCUUUAUCUCAAAGAAAAUGCACACUUUGUGCGUUAUCAACUAGACUAAGAAAUGUCAGCCAAGAAGGUCAAAAUGAAAGAAACAUGGUGGCUUAGCAUAGCCUCGACAGGCAGCCAGAGUUGAGAUGGGCAUGCGGGAAGAGCAAGGAGUCCAUGGAAAUUCUGCUUGUUAGUGAUGGUGAACUGGAGUGGCCUGGAUAUUUGAAUCAGCACCCUGGGUUUUUCAGCAGAUACUGGGGUUUUUCAGAUAUUUCCGAACUACACAGUCCUCCCAUGUUAUCAUCCUGUUGACUUUCCACAGGUGUGAAACCUGAGUCAGGGAGGCUGAAUACCUUGGCCAAAGUCGCACGACAGAGCAAGGGACGGAGUCCCGAUUGCAAAGCUGCCGUGUCAGCUCUGAAGCCUGUGCAUCUGACCACCAGGUAACACCAGAAUUGUGAGCCUGUAAAGGUGCAGUGUUGGGAAAUAAAUUUAUAAAAAUCGGCCGGGGCCAGUUGGGGAGGCUCUGAGAGGCCAGAUUAAGGAACUUGGGGCAUUGUUGUCUUCUGGGCAGCAGGGAGCCACUAGAUGGGAAAGACAGGCAGAGUCUGCCCCUCCUUCCCCCCUCCAAUGAAGUUUUACUUGUUUUUUUAUUAAAAAAAAAUUU